GCACCUCUAUUCUGUCAGUAUGCUGUUUGAUGUAUCUCUUCAUAACUGGAUUAAACUUAUGUCUUCUGGCUGCAGGUAAGUGACAUUUCUUGUCCUUUUAUUAUAAUUUCUCUAUUCCCCAGUCCUUUUUCAAGGCAAUAAUUGGUUGCUGGAAAUUCUAUUUUUUUUCUAGCUGCCCAUACUAUGGAUUCCCCCGGUCAGGCUUCGAGAAAUAGGUC
Pelobates cultripes (western spadefoot toad) is the source of this 218-nucleotide non-coding RNA. The record is from the annotation of a GenBank genome assembly. Lineage: Eukaryota; Metazoa; Chordata; Amphibia; Anura; Pelobatidae.